Molecule: long non-coding RNA, 4051 nt
Filed under: Cricetulus griseus (Chinese hamster)
Lineage: Eukaryota; Metazoa; Chordata; Mammalia; Rodentia; Cricetidae
Description: lncRNA (ENSCGRG00000024358.1)
Source: RNAcentral
CGCGUGCGCAUGAACACACACACACACACACACACACACACACACACACACACACACACACACACACACGGAAUAAAAUAAAUAAAUAAAUAAAUAUAAUUUAAUUUUUUUAAAUAAAGAAACCUGCCAAAACAGGAAGUCACACCAGAGGUCACUGUAGGUCACACAGAGCUAGACAGCUGCUGACACAGCCAUUGUAAAAUAGGACCAGCUUGUUCCCGCUGCAGUGAUGCCAGGAUGAUCACACCAUGCUGUUCAGAAACCUCUCGCAGACGUCACUCAGAUGCAUUUAAUGGAUGCCACGUCACAGGCAGAGAUCCUCACUGCAGAGCAUAUAAGUUAUUAGACCUCGCUUUCCAGACGCUGUGCAAACAGAGCCACGUUACUGUGGGGUUGUGGAGUUACUGAGGAAACUGAUUUUGUAAUAUCUGUCAAACUAGCUAAAAACAACAAAGGGGACUUGACAACUCACAAACCUGAUGGGCCCCAAAGACAGAAACAUCUCUGGACAGGAAUGGAACCAGGAAGUUAGAACGCAUUGCCGGCACUGUUUUUUCCAUCCUGUUUCUCGGUCCUGCUUUUCCUUCGUCUAACACUUCCUGAGCACCUCCUAUUUGCCGGACACUUCUGUGAACGCUGAGAUGCCAUGGUGAACAACACACAGGAAUCUUUGCUCUUAGGGCACCUACCUUCCUGUUAGCUUUGUCCUCCCCCACCCAAACCCUGACAGUUCCUCUAAAAAUGGCAGCACAAAUCACUAUGAGCUGCAAGCUCAUAGACUACCCACUGUUUGAGAUAUCCCAUGAAGAAUGGGCUUUCCUCUCCCAGAAUCCAUAUAAAUUCCAUGCAAUAAAUGACUGUAAUUGUUUUUAUGAUGUGAUGCAUCGGAGACCCAAUCGGUGCUGAGCGGCCUGAGCCAUGUGUCCUCCAGAUGCUGAAGAGGCUGCUCCCAAAAGGAAGAGGCUGAUGCCCCCUUGUUGCCGUUUAUUCCUGCCUUGUACCGGCCUCACUCGUUGGUUUUCUACGGUUGGCAAUGACAUCUGUCAGCGCUUAAAAAACAAUGAGGUCCACAAAAAUCCGACUAAGACCAUGACAAACGCCACCAUCCCAUUGGCGAGCAAUUUUAAAAUGGAUCUCUGUUUGUUCCUGAGUGGAUCCACCCUCAGAUGGACCUGGAACAAUCUGACGCUGUCUAUCUGGGUCCCCAUGCUGCCCUCCAAUCCCUUUAAAGUCAUCAAGAGUAGAGACACUAAAUCCUCCUACACCCACAGUGUCAGUUGGAGACACUCAGAUUGAUCCCAUCUCCCUUUCCUUGGUGAUUCUGGGCUCUCAGCUCUCCAGGAGCAAGCGUUAGAUAGCUACAGAGAAAUUAUCAGGCUUGGAGGCCGCCGAGGGAGGGCCCCUCCACAGCAUCUUUCUCACUGGAAAUUUCCAAUACCAGAGACUGCUCUGAGAACCCCUGAUGAGAAUGCCGACCUCAUCCUGCGGGAAGAGCUAUAUGGAUGGCAACUGUGCACCAUCCUCCACCUACCUGUUGAAACAAAAGUCAGGAAAACUAGCCAUGACUGCGCCAUUUUGAAAAGUUUUCCCAUUCGGCGUUAAGAAGUGACAAUUUUCUGAAAUCACAGUAAUUAGCAGCAUUCCAGAAAUAAAGCCUAGAUUCCUGCCACAUCUUACCACUGCAAAAGCCUGAUGCAGGGCUGCCGGUCCCUCAUCUGACAUUCUUUNNNNNNNNNNNNNNNNNNNNNNNNNNNNNNNNNNNNNNNNNNNNNNNNNNNNNNNNNNNNNNNNNNNNNNNNNNNNNNNNNNNNNNNNNUGAACAGAGGGUCCUUGAUUCUUACAAGACAGGUGUUUCCCCACCCAAUACCGUCCUUUAAAAAGGGAGCAAAGUACUGUGUUGCACCAUCACAGAUGAAUCUUGAAAACACUUGGUCAAGAGAAAGAAAACCUGCUACGUGAUUCAAUCUGUACGUUGUUCAGAAUAGAGAACCCCACGUAGAUUUCUUUCAAAGUUAUGGCUUAGAGCUAGGGGAAAGGCUGUAAAGGGGACAGGAAGGGAGAGCUUAACGGACAGGCUUUUGCUAUGGUCAGGAAAAUGUUCUACCACUGACUGUAUUAACGGCUACACAUGCUUGUGAAAGUACAAAUGCACAUUUUAUAUAUUUUUAUAAGGUGAGUUAUACAGUAUAUGAAUUAUACUUCAACAAACUGCUGAGCACAAACAAUAAUCAGAUCCACUCAAGACCGAAUUGAUCUCAGUUUUAUUAAAAAAAGAAAAAAAACAAAAACAAACAAAAAAACACUUUUCGCUUCUUGGAUCUGUUUAUUUUGCAAUUAAUGAAAGUCAAAGGAGCAAGCAGGAAACAUUGUUACUCGGGGACUUGGAAUUUCUCGUUAUGACCACAAAAACAAGUACAGAACCUGUCACGAUAUUCAAAAGAAGAUUUAUUUUCCUUAUUAGCAAAUCAAGAGUGUUAAGUUUCCACCAAGGAGGGAAAAAUAUUUGCUGAUUGUUUUAGAGAGGUGUGCUGGAAGACUUAAACCUUUUAAAGAGUUCCUAGCACUUGGAGUUCUUAGAGCAGUAAUGCAUUAAAGUGCAUUUAAAACUUCUCAGAGUGACAUCAAGGGCCAUCAGUAUGAGCUGACCAGGUAUUUCAAGCUCCAGGUUAAUUGCUGGAUAAACCACUGGCUAUCGGCAAAGAAAAUAAAUGCAAGAACUAUUUAGUUAUAGAGGGGAAAAAGCAAUAUAAAGCCUGAGGAAUAACAGGCCAUAGCAAUGCUUGGACAGGAAGAUGAUAAAGACCAAUCAAGAAGAGAAGAAGCAAAGAAAAGGGAUGAACAACAUAGCUACAUGCUGAAAAAUAAGAUCUGUUUCUUAGGGUCGGGGUCCCAGAGUGAACCUUUUCCAUACUGUGGAAGAGGUUGCCAAUGAGUUACACCCUGAACCCUGAAAAUACGAUUUUAAACUAACUCCUUCACAUUUACCAAUGGUUGGGAAAUACAUGACAAUUUUUUAUCAUGUAAUAAGAAAACUCUUAAAUACUGGCAUAUAUCUAGUGAUUUUUUUUAAAAUGCUGUCUUGCAUCUGUUUCCUAUGUUUAAUAAAGACAGAGUCGGGGUCUAGAUUCAACCUUAUUUGCUUAGUGUGAAGGAAUAGUGAGAAUAAUUCCAGCCUCGGAAAGGGAACUAACUAUACUUUAAUUUAAAUGCAAAUGAGAAACAGGAUCAGCAAAUACUUGUCAACUAUAGAAAAGCCAGCUUGGUCUCUGUAUGAAGAAACAAUGCUUGACUAAUCCACAAAAGUCCUUUCAGAAGGAAAAAUAAACUUGUGGGGAAAGGAAAACCAUGCAUGUAUUUUCCUCUUGGAAAAGUCUGCACACAUUUUUCACACCGAUGACGAUUUCUUAAUUGAGUUACCCUUGGACCGGGCUGUUGGGGAAACUUACUAUGGAUAAAGAAUUAAUGUCAAAGUAGCAGGGCAGGAAUGUUAUUAAAAGGAGAAGUGUAAAUUGUGGUAUUUCCCAACAAAUCAAUCCUAGGUCAAUCUAAUUUAAUGGUUUAUUAUGUUUUGGAAAAGAGAGUACCCAGUUUAAAAAAAAAAAAAAAAAAAAAAACCUCUAAAUUUGAAAACGAUACUUUUAAGGGAGUGAUAGGCCCGAAUGGCCGUGGGGGGAAAACUAUACAGACAGAAACGGCAGGGUUUUGGCUUUGGUAACAAACUGUGUGCAUGCAGCUCCAGUUAUGUAAAUGGAUUUGACUGCUAAGUCCUCACGGGGCACAGAGAUCUAGGCAUCAUCAAGGCUGGUCCUUAAAGAUCUCUUCUCAAGACUGGUUGAAGAUUGGGACAAGGUGAUUGGAACUCAGACAACUGGCAGUGCUGCCUUCUCUGUACACACACACACACACACACACACACACACACACACACACAGCUGCUGCCAUGUCUGCGGGGCAUAUUUGGUCCUGAGCCGAAGCAAAACAGAAGGAGUUGGCCAGGCUCGGCACACUUACCCAUCCGGCAUGUAGAGCAACACAGAGAGAGGGGGGUCGG